RNAcentral lists this ribosomal RNA (394 nucleotides) under Staphylococcus sp. HMSC072H01. RNAcentral describes it as "bacterial SSU rRNA". It matches the Rfam family "Bacterial small subunit ribosomal RNA", at positions 1147 to 1533 of the family's 1533-position model. The record is from RNAcentral. Lineage: Bacteria; Bacillati; Bacillota; Bacilli; Caryophanales; Staphylococcaceae.
GACUGCCGGUGACAAACCGGAGGAAGGUGGGGAUGACGUCAAAUCAUCAUGCCCCUUAUGAUUUGGGCUACACACGUGCUACAAUGGACAAUACAAAGGGCAGCGAAACCGCGAGGUCAAGCAAAUCCCAUAAAGUUGUUCUCAGUUCGGAUUGUAGUCUGCAACUCGACUAUAUGAAGCUGGAAUCGCUAGUAAUCGUAGAUCAGCAUGCUACGGUGAAUACGUUCCCGGGUCUUGUACACACCGCCCGUCACACCACGAGAGUUUGUAACACCCGAAGCCGGUGGAGUAACCAUUUGGAGCUAGCCGUCGAAGGUGGGACAAAUGAUUGGGGUGAAGUCGUAACAAGGUAGCCGUAUCGGAAGGUGCGGCUGGAUCACCUCCUUUCUAAGGA